ACAGAGGUGCCGAGCGUUAGGCGGAAUCACUGGGCUUAAAGCGUGUGUAGGUGGAUCGUUAAGUACCUUGUGAAAUCCCACGGCUCAACCGUGGAACUGCUGGGUAUACUGGCGGUCUUGAGCCACCUAGGGGCGAGCGGAACAAGCGGUGGAGCGGUGAAAUGCGUAGAUAUCGCCUGGAACGCCGACGGUGAAAACAGGUGACUGGGGGUGCGCCGACGCUGAUGCGCGAAAGCCAGGGGAGCAAACGGGA
Molecule: ribosomal RNA, 253 nt
Filed under: uncultured prokaryote
Description: partial 16S ribosomal RNA
Rfam family: Bacterial small subunit ribosomal RNA
Source: RNAcentral